This 468-nucleotide ribosomal RNA is filed under the name uncultured bacterium. RNAcentral's name for it is "partial 16S ribosomal RNA". It matches the Rfam family "Bacterial small subunit ribosomal RNA", at positions 28 to 507 of the family's 1533-position model. The record is from RNAcentral.
GACGAACGCUGGCGGCGUGCUUAACACAUGCAAGUCGAACGGAAAGGCCCUGCUUUUGUGGGGUGCUCGAGUGGCGAACGGGUGCGUAACACGUGAGUAACCUGCCCUUGACUUUGGGAUAACUUAAGGAAACUGGGGCUAAUACCGGAUAGGAGCUCCUGCUGCAUGGUGGGGGUUGGAAAGUUUCGGCGGUUGGGGAUGGACUAGCGGGUUAUCAGCUUGUUGGUGGGGGAGUGGCUUACCAAGGCAUUGACGGGUAGCCGGCCUGAGUGGGUGACCGGCCACAUUGGGACUGAGAUACGGCCCAGACUCCUACGGUGGGCAGCAGUGGGGAAUAUUGCACAAUGGGCGGAAGCCUGAUGCAGCAACGCCGCGUGCGGGAUGACGGCCUUCGGGUUGUAAACCGCUUUCGCCUGUGACGAAGCGUGAGUGACGGUAAUGGAUAAAGAAGCACCGGCUAACUACGUG